GGGCGGUUAGUUCAGUUGGUUAGAACGCUUCCUUGACAUGGAAGAGGUGAGAGGUUCGACUCCUCUACCGCCCACCA
Molecule: transfer RNA, 77 nt
Filed under: Candidatus Omnitrophota bacterium
Lineage: Bacteria; Pseudomonadati; Candidatus Omnitrophota
Description: Candidatus Omnitrophica bacterium tRNA-Val
Rfam family: tRNA
About the family: Transfer RNA (tRNA) molecules are approximately 80 nucleotides in length.
Source: RNAcentral